UUAGUUAGUUGGUGGGGUAAAGGCCUACCAAGACAAUGAUGCAUAGCCGAGUUGAGAGACUGAUCGGCCACAUUGGGACUGAGACACGGCCCAAACUCCUACGGGAGGCUGCAGUAGGGAAUCUUCCACAAUGGGCGAAAGCCUGAUGGAGCAACGCCGCGUGUGUGAUGAAGGCUUUCGGGUCGUAAAGCACUGUUGUAUGGGAAGAAAAGUUAAGGUAGGGAAUGACCUUAGCCUGACGGUACCAUACCAGAAAGGGACGGCUAAAUACGUGCCAGCAGCCGCGGUAAUACGUAUGUCCCGAGCGUUAUCCGGAUUUAUUGGGCGUAAAGCGAGCGCAGACGGUUGGUUAAGUCUGAUGUGAAAGCCCGGAGCUCAACUCCGGAAAGGCAUUGGAAACUGGUUAACUUGAGUGCAGUAGAGGUAAGUGGAACUCCAUGUGUAGCGGUGGAAUGCGUAGAUAUAUGGAAGAACACCAGCGGCGAAGGCGGCUUACUGGACUGUAACUGACGUUGAGGCUCGAAAGUGUGGGUAGCAAACAGGAUUAGAUACCCUGGUAGUCCACACCGUAAACGAUGAACACUAGGUGUUAGGAGGUUUCCGCCUCUUAGUGCCGAAGCUAACGCAUUAAGUGUUCCGCCUGGGGAGUACGACCGCAAGGUUGAAACUCAAAGGAAUUGACGGGGACCCGCACAAGCGGUGGAGCAUGUGGUUUAAUUCGAAGCAACGCGAAGAACCUUACCAGGUCUUGACAUCCUUUGAAGCUUUUAGAAAUAGAAGUGUUCUCUUCGGAGACAAAGUGACAGGUGGUGCAUGGUCGUCGUCAGCUCGUGUCGUGAGAUGUUGGGUUAAGUCCCGCAACGAGCGCAACCCUUAUUGUUAGUUGCCAGCAUUCAGAUGGGCACUCUAGCGAGACUGCCGGUGACAAACCGGAGGAAGGCGGGGACGACGUCAGAUCAUCAUGCCCCUUAUGACCUGGGCUACACACGUGCUACAAUGGCGUAUACAACGAGUUGCCAACCUGCGAAGGUGAGCUAAUCUCUUAAAGUACGUCUCAGUUCGGACUGCAGUCUGCAACUCGACUGCACGAAGUCGGAAUCGCUAGUAAUCGCGGAUCAGCACGCCGCGGUGAAUACGUUCCCGGGUCUUGUACACACCGCCCGUCACACCAUGGAAGUUUGUAAUGCCCAAAGCCGGUGGCCUAACCGUAAGGAGGGAACCGU
Molecule: ribosomal RNA, 1223 nt
Filed under: Leuconostoc carnosum
Lineage: Bacteria; Bacillati; Bacillota; Bacilli; Lactobacillales; Lactobacillaceae
Description: bacterial SSU rRNA
Rfam family: Bacterial small subunit ribosomal RNA
Source: RNAcentral